Molecule: ribosomal RNA, 757 nt
Filed under: uncultured Tolypothrix sp.
Lineage: Bacteria; Bacillati; Cyanobacteriota; Cyanophyceae; Nostocales; Tolypothrichaceae
Description: bacterial SSU rRNA
Rfam family: Bacterial small subunit ribosomal RNA
Source: RNAcentral
AAUNCGUGGUACUUCAGGNCGGGGACAACCACUGGAAACGGUGGCUAAUACCGGAUGUGCCGGAAGGUGAAAGAUUUAUUGCCUGAAGAUGAGCUCGCGUCUGAUUAGCUAGUUGGUAGUGUAAGAGACUACCAAGGCGACGAUCAGUAGCUGGUCUGAGAGGAUGAUCAGCCACACUGGGACUGAGACACGGCCCAGACUCCUACGGGAGGCAGCAGUGGGGAAUUUUCCGCAAUGGGCGAAAGCCUGACGGAGCAAUACCGCGUGAGGGAGGAAGGCUCUUGGGUUGUAAACCUCUUUUCUCAAGGAAGAAAAAAAUGACGGUACUUGAGGAAUAAGCAUCGGCUAACUCCGUGCCAGCAGCCGCGGUAAUACGGAGGAUGCAAGCGUUAUCCGGAAUGAUUGGGCGUAAAGCGUCCGCAGGUGGCGAUGAAAGUCUGCUGUUAAAGAGUGAGGCUCAACCUCAUAAAAGCAGUGGAAACUACAUAGCUAGAGUACGUUCGGGGCAGAGGGAAUUCCUGGUGUAGCGGUGAAAUGCGUAGAGAUCAGGAAGAACACCGGUGGCGAAAGCGCUCUGCUAGGCCGUAACUGACACUGAGGGACGAAAGCUAGGGGAGCGAAUGGGAUUAGAUACCCCAGUAGUCAUACUGANAGGGAAACACACCCCGCGAGAAAGAGAAAAUCACCCCCCGUUCUCACANUGGUUCCUUUCCCGCACUAACUAUAAACCUCUACUAUGUUCCAGCUUUUCUCUUCG